GACGUAGGGAGCAAGCGUUGUCCGGAUUUACUGGGCGUAAAGAGCGCGUAGGCGGUCUGUUAAGUGUAGAGUGAAAUCUCCAGGGCUCAACCCGGAAACUGCUCUGCAUACUGGCAGACUUGAGGGACUGAGAGGUGAAUGGAAUUCCUGGUGUAGCGGUGGAAUGCGCAGAUAUCAGGAGGAACACCGGUGGCGAAGGCGGGUCUCUGGGCCGUUACUGACGCUGAGGAGCGAAAGCGUGGGGAGCGAACAGG
This 254-nucleotide ribosomal RNA is filed under the name uncultured bacterium. RNAcentral's name for it is "partial 16S ribosomal RNA". It matches the Rfam family "Bacterial small subunit ribosomal RNA", at positions 524 to 776 of the family's 1533-position model. The record is from RNAcentral.